GGUAGUCCACGCCGUAAACGAUGUCGACUUGGAGGUUGUUCCCUUGAGGAGUGGCUUCCGGAGCUAACGCGUUAAGUCGACCGCCUGGGGAGUACGGCCGCAAGGUUAAAACUCAAAUGAAUUGACGGGGGCCCGCACAAGCGGUGGAGCAUGUGGUUUAAUUCGAUGCAACGCGAAGAACCUUACCUACUCUUGACAUCCAGAGAACUUAGCAGAGAUGCUUUGGUGCCUUCGGGAACUCUGAGACAGGUGCUGCAUGGCUGUCGUCAGCUCGUGUUGUGAAAUGUUGGGUUAAGUCCCGCAACGAGCGCAACCCUUAUCCUUUGUUGCCAGCGGUUCGGCCGGGAACUCAAAGGAGACUGCCAGUGAUAAACUGGAGGAAGGUGGGGAUGACGUCAAGUCAUCAUGGCCCUUACGAGUAGGGCUACACACGUGCUACAAUGGCGCAUACAAAGAGAAGCGACCUCGCGAGAGCAAGCGGACCUCAUAAAGUGCGUCGUAGUCCGGAUCGGAGUCUGCAACUCGACUCCGUGAAGUCGGAAUCGCUAGUAAUCGUAGAUCAGAAUGCUACGGUGAAUACGUUCCCGGGCCUUGUACACACCGCCCGUCACACCAUGGGAGUGGGUUGCAAAAGAAGUAGGUAGCUUAACCUUCGGGAGGGCGCUUACCACUUUGUGAUUCAUGACUGGGGUGAAGUCGUAACAAGGUAACCGUAGGGGAACCUGC
Molecule: ribosomal RNA, 726 nt
Filed under: uncultured bacterium
Lineage: Bacteria
Description: bacterial SSU rRNA
Rfam family: Bacterial small subunit ribosomal RNA
Source: RNAcentral